CGUCCCGCCGGCGACCGGCGCACGGGUGAGUAACACGUAUGCAACCUGGCCGCCACAGGGGGAUAACCCGCGGAAACGCGGCCUAAUACCCCGUGACGCCACCGGAGGGCAUCCUCCGGUGGCCAAAGGAGCGAUCCGGUGGCGGAUGGGCAUGCGGCGCAUUAGCUAGACGGCGGGGUGACGGCCCACCGUGGCGACGAUGCGUAGGGGUUCUGAGAGGAAGGCCCCCCACACUGGGACUGAGACACGGCCCAAACUCCUACGGAAGGCAGCAG
Molecule: ribosomal RNA, 275 nt
Filed under: uncultured bacterium
Lineage: Bacteria
Description: partial 16S ribosomal RNA
Rfam family: Bacterial small subunit ribosomal RNA
Source: RNAcentral